Molecule: ribosomal RNA, 315 nt
Filed under: uncultured Treponema sp.
Lineage: Bacteria; Pseudomonadati; Spirochaetota; Spirochaetia; Treponematales; Treponemataceae
Description: bacterial SSU rRNA
Rfam family: Bacterial small subunit ribosomal RNA
Source: RNAcentral
AACGAAUGCUGGCGGCGCGUCUUAAGCAUGCAAGUCGGGCGGCAAACUGCCUUCGGGCAGCCUAGAGCGGCGGACUGGUGAGUAACGCGUGGGUGACGCACCCCCUUGACGGGGACAGCCCGCAGAAAUGCGGGGUAAUACCGGAUAAGGUUCCCGGGGCCGGAGCCCGGGGAGGAAAGGAGCUAUUGCUCCGCGAGGGGAGCGGCCCGCGUCCCAUCAGCUAGAUGGCGGUGUAACGGACCACCAUGGCGAUGACGGGUACCCGGACUGAGAGGUUGGCCGGGCACAUUGGGACUGAGAUACGGCCCAGACUCC